GACGAACGCUGGCGGCGUGCCUAAUACAUGCAAGUAGGACGCAGUUGCGAACGGGUGAGUAACGCGUAGGUAACUGCCUAUUAGAGGGGGAUAACUAUUGGAAACGAUAGCUAAUACCGCAUACUAGUAGAUGGACCUGCGUUAUUGUAGCUAGUAGGUAGGGUAAUGGGCUACCUAGGCGAGGAUACAUAGCCGACCUUAGGGGGUGAGCGGCCAACAUGGGACUGAGACACGGCCCAGACUCCUACGGGAGGCAGCAGUAGGGAAUCUUCGGCAAUGGGGGGAACCCUGACCGGGCAACGCCGCGUGAGUGAAGAAGGUUUUCGGAUCGUAAAGCUCUGUUGUUAGGGAAGCGGUACUUAACCAGAAAGGGACGGCUAACUACGUGCCAGCAGCCGCGGUAAUUC
This 407-nucleotide ribosomal RNA is filed under the name uncultured bacterium. RNAcentral describes it as "partial 16S ribosomal RNA". It matches the Rfam family "Bacterial small subunit ribosomal RNA", at positions 28 to 526 of the family's 1533-position model. The record is from RNAcentral.